UGGCAGAACCCCUUUCUGGACUUCACAAAGAUAGAUGCAAAUGAGCCAAGAAAGAUGUGACAGUUUACUUCCCGGAAGCUAAGAAGAAAUUGCCAUACAGAUUCUACCAACCUUUUUCAAGGAAGACCUGGUGAUAUAUUCAUCUCAAGUGACAAGGUUGAUACGAAGCCCAUGUACAUACGUGUAUCCUGCAAUCAAGAGGAAUCAUAUGAGCUUGUUCUGGAGGAGCAAAGAGUCUGUCAAGUCCAGGAUAAAGUGCAUGCAUUGGCUUGUAUGAGCCAUCAGUCAUGAAAAUUCGUGA
Molecule: long non-coding RNA, 301 nt
Organism: Lytechinus variegatus (green sea urchin)
Lineage: Eukaryota; Metazoa; Echinodermata; Echinoidea; Temnopleuroida; Toxopneustidae
Exons: 3
Source: RefSeq, a predicted model, not a curated record